AGUGAACGCUGGCGGUAGGCCUAACACAUGCAAGUCGAACGGCAGCACAGUAAGAGCUUGCUCUUACGGGUGGCGAGUGGCGGACGGGUGAGGAAUAUAUCGGAAUCUACUUUUUCGUGGGGGAUAACGUAGGGAAACUUACGCUAAUACCGCAUACGACCUACGGGUGAAAGCAGGGGAUCUUCGGACCUUGCGCGAUUGAAUGAGCCGAUGUCGGAUUAGCUAGUUGGCGGGGUAAAGGCCCACCAAGGCGACGAUCCGUAGCUGGUCUGUGAGGAUGAUCGGCCACACUGGAACUGGGACACGGUCCAGACUCCUACGGGAGGCAGCAGUGGGGAAUAUUGGACAAUGGGCGCAAGCCUGAUCCAGCCAUACCGCGUGGGUGAAGAAGGCCUUCGGGUUGUAAAGACCUUUUGUUGGGAAAGAAAAGCAGCAGGUUAAUACCCCGCUGUUCUGACGGUACCCAAAGAAUAAGCACCGGCUAACUUCGUG
RNAcentral lists this ribosomal RNA (492 nucleotides) under uncultured bacterium. RNAcentral's name for it is "partial 16S ribosomal RNA". It matches the Rfam family "Bacterial small subunit ribosomal RNA", at positions 29 to 507 of the family's 1533-position model. The record is from RNAcentral.